UGGGGAAUAUUGCACAAUGGGGGAAACCCUGAUGCAGCGACGCCGCGUGAGUGAAGAAAGUAAUUCGUUAUGUAAAGCUCUAUCAGCAGGGAAGAAAAUGACGGUACCUGAGUAAGAAGCCCCGGCUAACUACGUGCC
This 138-nucleotide ribosomal RNA is filed under the name uncultured bacterium. RNAcentral's name for it is "partial 16S ribosomal RNA". It matches the Rfam family "Bacterial small subunit ribosomal RNA", at positions 355 to 509 of the family's 1533-position model. The record is from RNAcentral.